CCUACGGGUGGCAGCAGUGAGGAAUAUUGGUCAAUGGACGAGAGUCUGAACCAGCCAAGUAGCGUGAAGGAUGACUGCCCUAUGGGUUGUAAACUUCUUUUAUGUGGGAAUAAAACAGGGUAUGCAUACCCUCUUUUAUGUACCAUAUGAAUAAGUAUCGUCUACCUCCGUUCCAGCAGCCGCGGUAAUACGGAGGAUCCGAGCUUUAUCCGGAUUUAUUGGGUUUAAAGGGAGCGUAGGUGGAGUGUUAAGUCAGUUGUGAAAGUUUGCGGCUCAACCGUAAAAUUGCAGUUGAAACUGGCAGUCUUGAGUACAGUAGAGGUGGGCGGAAUUCGUGGUGUAGCGGUGAAAUGCUUAGAUAUCACGAAGAACUCCGAUUGCGAAGGCAGCUCACUGGACUGCAACUGACACUGAUGCUCGAAAGUGUGGGUAUCAAACAGGAUUAGAUACCCUAGUAGUC
Molecule: ribosomal RNA, 460 nt
Filed under: uncultured bacterium
Lineage: Bacteria
Description: partial 16S ribosomal RNA
Rfam family: Bacterial small subunit ribosomal RNA
Source: RNAcentral